UUGGCAAAGUUCUGCAAUCAGUCAUUUUCUUUUGUGUCCUGUUUGCCCGAUUUGUACAGCAUACUGUCAGCAGUCAAGGCAAGGAUACUUUCUUUGCCCACAUAGCUAACUUUUUCCAUAAAGAAAACAAACUCCACAUGGAGUUUCUUUGAUGUCCAUCAUCCUCUUUGAAGUAAUUGGUGAUGCCAGGAGCAGACAUGUCUCACUUAUCAGCAGAGCCAGG
This is a non-coding RNA of Peromyscus maniculatus bairdii (prairie deer mouse), 223 nucleotides long. The record is from RefSeq and is a predicted model, not a curated record. Lineage: Eukaryota; Metazoa; Chordata; Mammalia; Rodentia; Cricetidae.